AUUGAACGCUGGCGGCAGGCCUAACACAUGCAAGUCGAGCGGAUGAAGGGAGCUUGCUCCUGGAUUCAGCGGCGGACGGGUGAGUAAUGCCUAGGAAUCUGCCUGGUAGUGGGGGAUAACGUCCGGAAACGGGCGCUAAUACCGCAUACGUCCUGAGGGAGAAAGUGGGGGGUCUUCGGACCUCACGCUAUCAGAUGAGCCUAGGUCGGAUUAGCUAGUUGGUGGGGUAAAGGCCUACCAAGGCGACGAUCCGUAACUGGUCUGAGAGGAUGAUCAGUCACACUGGAGCUGGACCAGGGUCCAGACGCCUACGAGAGGCAGCAGAGGGGAAUGUUGGACAGUGGGCGGGAGCCUGGUCCAGCCGUGCCGCGUGUGUGGAGAAGGUCUUCGGAUUGUAAAGCACUUUAAGGGGGGAGGAAGGGCAGUAAGUUAAUACCUUGCUGUUUUGACGUUACCAACAGAAUAAGCACCGGCUAACUACGUG
Molecule: ribosomal RNA, 484 nt
Filed under: uncultured bacterium
Lineage: Bacteria
Description: partial 16S ribosomal RNA
Rfam family: Bacterial small subunit ribosomal RNA
Source: RNAcentral